This 233-nucleotide ribosomal RNA is filed under the name uncultured bacterium. RNAcentral's name for it is "partial 16S ribosomal RNA". It matches the Rfam family "Bacterial small subunit ribosomal RNA", at positions 84 to 334 of the family's 1533-position model. The record is from RNAcentral.
CCUUCGGGUGAGUGGCAGACGGGUGAGUAACGCGUGGGAACCUACCUAGUAGCACGGAAUAACUCAGGGAAACUUGUGCUAAUACCGUAUACGCCCUUCGGGGGAAAGAUUUAUCGCUAUUAGAUGGGCCCGCGUUGGAUUAGCUUGUUGGUGAGGUAAUGGCUCACCAAGGCUACGAUCCAUAGCUGGUCUGAGAGGAUGAUCAGCCACACUGGGACUGAGACACGGCCCAG